RNAcentral lists this long non-coding RNA (738 nucleotides) under Homo sapiens (human). Its description in RNAcentral is "non-protein coding lnc-COL6A5-6:1". The record is from RNAcentral. Lineage: Eukaryota; Metazoa; Chordata; Mammalia; Primates; Hominidae.
UUCAGGAGAGAAGGGCAACCCUGGUGAGGGAGUUGAUGGCUUGCAUGGAGAACAGGGUAAUCACGGAAUCCCAGGGUCAUCUGGAGAAAAAGGAAAUAGGGGAAAUCGGGGCUUGACGGGACUGCCAGGACAACCUGGAGAGCGUGGAGAGCCUGGGUUAAGGGGAGAUCCUGGGGAUCCUGGAACUAAUAGCUAUAUCCAAGGCCCUAAGGGAGAAAAAGGAAGGCGUGGGCGUCAGGGAAGUUCUAAUGUUGAUGGACCUCAGGGAGAAACUGGAAAUGUCGGCCCUUGGGGGACAAUAGGAAGGCGAGGUCUGCCAGGAUUAAAGGGACCAAGAGGAAGGCAAGGACCACCAGGAACUUCUGGACAAAAAGGCUUAGUGGGUGCUCAGGGGAAUCCUGGGCCUCCAGGGCCAAAUGGUUCAAAAGGAAAAGCUGGACCAAGAGGAGUGAAGGGAGAGAUUGGUGAUGUAGGAGAAAGAGGCCCACAGAGUCGACAAGGACCAAGAGGGCAACCUGGUCUUCCUGGUUCUGAUGGAUAAGGACAUCCAGGAACAAAAGGAACAAAGGGUGAACAUGGAUUCCCUGGCUAUCCUGGUGCACAAGGAGAAGAUGGUGACCCGGGCCAUCAAGGAGAAAAGGGGGCAAAGGGAAUAAGAGGGAAGAGGGGUAAUGCUGGCUUUCCUGGAUUUGUUGGAACUUCGGGUGACCAAGGCCCACCAGGACAAAUGGUAAUAUG